CAGUAGCCGCGGGAAUACGUAGGUGGCAAGCGUUGUCCGGAAUUAUUGGGCGUAAAGGGCUCGCAGGCGGUUUCUUAAGUCUGAUGUGAAAGCCCCCGGCUCAACCGGGGAGGGUCAUUGGAAACUGGGAAACUUGAGUGCAGAAGAGGAGAGUGGAAUUCCACGUGUAGCGGUGAAAUGCGUAGAGAUGUGGAGGAACACCAGUGGCGAAGGCGGCUCUCUGGUCUGUAACUGACGCUGAGGAGCGAAAGCGUGGGGAGCGAACAGGAUUAGAUACCCCAGUAGUCCCUGUCUCUUAUAC
Molecule: ribosomal RNA, 301 nt
Filed under: uncultured bacterium
Lineage: Bacteria
Description: partial 16S ribosomal RNA
Rfam family: Bacterial small subunit ribosomal RNA
Source: RNAcentral